UNGAUUGGUGCCCCUAAAUGGACAGCUUUGU
RNAcentral lists this non-coding RNA (31 nucleotides) under Mus musculus (house mouse). Lineage: Eukaryota; Metazoa; Chordata; Mammalia; Rodentia; Muridae. The record is from RNAcentral.